AGCAGCCGCGGUAAUUCCAGCUCCAAUAGCGUAUAUUAAAGUUGUUGCAGUUAAAAAGCUCGUAGUUGAAUUUCGGGAUCAGUACGCUGGUCGUGCCUUGGUAUGUACUGGUGUUACUGGUUCCUACCUUCUGACGAACCGUCAUGUCAUUAAUUUGGUGUGGCGGGGAAUCAGGACUGUUACUUUGAAAAAAUUAGAGUGUUUAAAGCAGGCUCGCGCUUGAAUACAUUAGCAUGGAAUAAUGAAAUAGGACGUUCGAUCCUAUUUUGUUGGUUUCUAGGAUUGACGUAAUGAUUAAUAGGGAUAGUUGGG
Molecule: ribosomal RNA, 312 nt
Filed under: uncultured Glomeromycotina
Lineage: Eukaryota; Fungi; Glomeromycota
Description: SSU rRNA
Rfam family: Eukaryotic small subunit ribosomal RNA
Source: RNAcentral